AAAGUUGAAAAGAACUUUGAAGAGAGAGUUCAAGAGUACGUGAAACCGUUCAGGGGUAAACCUGAGAAACCCGAAAGGUCGAAAGGGGAGAUUCAACCUGUUCGGCGUUCGCGAGCGGCGCGCGUCUGAGAUUGGGAUACCUCCGUGUAGCCCCGCUCGGCGCGUCGAACGAUCGGGCGUCGAACGCGUGCACUUCUCCUCCUGUAGGACGUCGUGACCCGUUGGGCGCCGGCCUAAGGCCCGCGGUGGAGCCCGGACGCCUUUGGCGCGUCCGGACCCGC
Molecule: ribosomal RNA, 281 nt
Filed under: Tanzanolus sp. sp100
Lineage: Eukaryota; Metazoa; Arthropoda; Insecta; Coleoptera; Scarabaeidae
Description: partial 28S ribosomal RNA
Source: RNAcentral